Molecule: long non-coding RNA, 214 nt
Filed under: Rosa chinensis
Lineage: Eukaryota; Viridiplantae; Streptophyta; Magnoliopsida; Rosales; Rosaceae
Description: sRNA RchiOBHm_Chr2g0107131
Source: RNAcentral
GUCUCUUCUGCUGUUUUGAAAUCAUGAAUGAUGAAUUUGAUUUACAGAGCAUGAAAAUGUUGAAAGUAAGAGCUAUGCCCUCGAGGACAAAUUGAAGCAGAAGGGUAUUUUCAAUUCCAUCACUCCAAGAACUGAUAGACCCCAGAAACAUCUGAAACCAUUCAAUGGGAAGCUGAAUCGUAUGAUGAUUUUGAUGAUGACCUUGUAAAUGCUG